GACGAACCGUGCGAACGUUGUUCGGAAUCACUGGGCUUAAAGGGCGCGUAGGCGGGCGAGCAAGUUCGGGGUGAAAUCUUUCGGCUCAACCGGAAAAGGGCCUCGGAGACUGCUUGUCUGGAGGGAGGUAGGGGCAGGUGGAACUGCUGGUGGAGCGGUGAAAUGCGUUGAUAUCAGCAGGAACGCCGGUGGCGAAAGCGACCUGCUGGACCUCUUCUGACGCUGAGGCGCGAAAGCUAGGGGAGCAAACGGGG
This 254-nucleotide ribosomal RNA is filed under the name uncultured bacterium. RNAcentral describes it as "partial 16S ribosomal RNA". It matches the Rfam family "Bacterial small subunit ribosomal RNA", at positions 524 to 777 of the family's 1533-position model. The record is from RNAcentral.